Molecule: ribosomal RNA, 520 nt
Filed under: uncultured bacterium
Lineage: Bacteria
Description: bacterial SSU rRNA
Rfam family: Bacterial small subunit ribosomal RNA
Source: RNAcentral
GGGAAUCUACCUUUUGCUACGGAAUAACUCAGGGAAACUUGUGCUAAUACCGUAUGUGUCCUUCGGGAGAAAGAUUUAUCGGCAAGAGAUGAGCCCGCGUUGGAUUAGCUAGUUGGUGGGGUAAAGGCCUACCAAGGCGACGAUCCAUAGCUGGUCUGAGAGGAUGAUCAGCCACACUGGGACUGAGACACGGCCCAGACUCCUACGGGAGGCAGCAGUGGGGAAUAUUGGACAAUGGGCGCAAGCCUGAUCCAGCCAUGCCGCGUGAGUGAUGACGGUCUUAGGAUUGUAAAGCUCUUUCACCGGUGAAGAUAAUGACGGUAACCGGAGAAGAAGCCCCGGCUAACUUCGUGCCAGCAGCCGCGGUAAUACGAAGGGGGCUAGCGUUGUUCGGAUUUACUGGGCGUAAAGCGCACGUAGGCGGACUUUUAAGUCAGGGGUGAAAUCCCAGAGCUCAACUCUGGAACUGCCUUUGAUACUGGAAGUCUUGAGUAUGGUAGAGGUGAGUGGAAUUCCGAGU